UUCACCAAAAAUUGUGUCUACACCUGCAAGGGCUAAAAUGCCCCAAAAUGUACUAUAUGGGGAUACGACCAGUUGUCAACUUCUUCCUACCUGAUAGUUAUAUGCAGUAAUCUGUUGUUGUUGCCUUUUUGCUUACAUUCCCAUAUAACACCAUUUCCAAUUUCUUAAAUCUUGUUUUCAAAUCUCUCUUUUGAAAUCUCUCUGCCCCCAUUUUCUAAAAUUUUCUUCUUCCACUGGGGCUAGAGGCUCAAGCAUACAUCAUUUAGUUGUAGGC
Molecule: long non-coding RNA, 274 nt
Organism: Cucurbita maxima (winter squash)
Lineage: Eukaryota; Viridiplantae; Streptophyta; Magnoliopsida; Cucurbitales; Cucurbitaceae
Exons: 3
Source: RefSeq, a predicted model, not a curated record